UAGGGAAUAUUCCACAAUGGACGCAAGUCUGAUGGAGCAACGCCGCGUGAGUGAAGAAGGUUUUCGGAUCGUAAAGCUCUGUUGUUGGUGAAGAAGGAUAGAGGCAGUAACUGGUCUUUAUUUGACGGUAAUCAACCAGAAAGUCACGGCUAACUACGUGCCAGCAGCCGCGGUAAUACGUAGGUGGCAAGCGUUGUCCGGAUUUAUUGGGCGUAAAGCGAGCGCAGGCGGAAUGAUAAGUCUGAUGUGAAAGCCCACGGCUCAACCGUGGAACUGCAUCGGAAACUGUCAUUCUUGAGUGCAGAAGAGGAGAGUGGAAUUCCAUGUGUAGCGGUGGAAUGCGUAGAUAUAUGGAAGAACACCAGUGGCGAAGGCGGCUCUCUGGUCUGCAACUGACGCUGAGGCUCGAAAGCAUGGGUAGCGAACAGG
Molecule: ribosomal RNA, 429 nt
Filed under: bacterium
Lineage: Bacteria
Description: partial 16S ribosomal RNA
Rfam family: Bacterial small subunit ribosomal RNA
Source: RNAcentral